Molecule: RNA transcript, 1946 nt
Organism: Oncorhynchus keta (chum salmon)
Lineage: Eukaryota; Metazoa; Chordata; Actinopteri; Salmoniformes; Salmonidae
Exons: 3
Source: RefSeq, a predicted model, not a curated record
CUAACACCCUCAUGUAAAUACUGACGGCAGUACUUUAGAGAUCUCCUAAUACCCUCAUGUAAAUACUGAUGGCAGUACUUUAGAGAUCUAAUACCCUCAUGUAAAUACUGAAAUUCAACGGCAUACACUUACAUUUCUGUCUUAAUAUAUUGACUUGAAGUACAGUUUAUAUUGGGGGAUGGAUGGGGCUGAGGGACAGGUUUCUACAGUGGAGGAUGGAUGGAUGGGGCUGAGGGACAGGUUUCUACAGUGGAGGAUGGAUGGAUGGGGCUGAGGGACAGGUUUCUACAGUGGAGGAUGGAUGGAUGGGGCUGAGGGACAGGUUUCUACAGUGGAGGAUGGAUGGAUGGGGCUGAGGGACAGGUUUCUACAGUGGAGGAUGGAUGGGGCUGAGGGACAGGUUUCUACAGUGGAGGAUGGAUGGGGCUGAGGGACAGGUUUCUACAGUAGAGGAUGGAUGGGGCAGAGGGACAGGUUUCUACAGUAGAGGAUGGAUGGGGCAGAGGGACAGGUUUCUACAGUAGAGGAUGGAUGGGGCAGAGGGACAGGUUUCUACAGUGGAGGAUGGAUGGAUGGGGCUGAGGGACAGGUUUCUACAGUGGAGGAUGGAUGGGGCAGAGGGACAGGUUUCUACAGUGGAGGAUGGAUGGAUGGGGCUGAGGGACAGGUUUCUACAGUGGAGGAUGGAUGGGGCAGAGGGACAGGUUUCUACAGUGGAGGAUGGAUGGAUGGGGCUGAGGGACAGGUUUCUACAGUGGAGGAUGGAUGGAUGGAUGGGGCAGAGGGACAGGUUUCUACAGGGAGGAUGGAUGGAUGGGGCAGAGGGACAGGUUUCUACAGUGGAGGAUGGAUGGAUGGGGCAGAGGGACAGGUUUCUACAGGGAGGAUGGAUGGAUGGGGCAGAGGGACAGGUUUCUACAGUGGAGGAUGGAUGGAUGGGGCAGAGGGACAGGUUUCUACAGUGGAGGAUGGAUGGAUGGGCAGAGGGACAGGUUUCUACAGUGGAGGAUGGAUGGAUGGGGCUGAGGGACAGGUUUCUACAGUGGAGGAUGGAUGGAUGGAGCAGAGGGACAGGUUUCUACAGUGGAGGAUGGAUGGAUGGGGCUGAGGGACAGGUUUCUACAGUGGAGGAUGGAUGGAUGGAUGGAGCAGAGGGACAGGUUUCUACAGUGGAGGAUGGAUGGAUGGAUGGAGCAGAGGGACAGGUUUCUACAGUGGAGGAUGGAUGGAUGGAGCAGAGGGACAGGUUUCUACAGUGGAGGAUGGAUGGGGCUGAGGGACAGGUUUCUACAGUAGAGGAUGGAUGGGGCUGAGGGACAGGUUUCUACAGUGGAGGAUGGAUGGAUGGGGCUGAGGGACAGGUUUCUACAGUGGAGGAUGGAUGGAUGGAGCAGAGGGACAGGUUUCUACAGUGGAGGAUGGAUGGAUGGGGCUGAGGGACAGGUUUCUACAGUGGAGGAUGGAUGGAUGGGGCUGAGGGACAGGUUUCUACAGUGGAGGAUGGAUGGAUGGGGCUGAGGGACAGGUUUCUACAGUGGAGGAUGGAUGGAUGGAGCAGAGGGACAGGUUUCUACAGUGGAGGAUGGAUGGAUGGAGCAGAGGGACAGGUUUCUACAGUGGAGGAUGGAUGGAUGGAGCAGAGGGACAGGUUUCUACAGUGGAGGAUGGAUGGAUGGGGCAGAGGGACAGGUUUCUACAGUGGAGGAUGGAUGGGGCAGAGGGACAGGUUUCUACAGUGGAGGAUGGAUGGGGCUGAGGGACAGGUUUCUACAGUAGAGGAUGGAUGGAUGGGGCUGAGGGACAGGUUUCUACAGUGGAGGAUGGAUGGGGCUGAGGGACAGGUUUCUACAGUGGAGGAUGGAUGGAUGGGGCAGAGGGACAGGUUUCUACAGUGGAGGAUGGAUGGGCUGAGGGACAGGUUUCUACAGUGGAGGAUGGAUGGGCUG